Molecule: ribosomal RNA, 253 nt
Filed under: uncultured bacterium
Lineage: Bacteria
Description: partial 16S ribosomal RNA
Rfam family: Bacterial small subunit ribosomal RNA
Source: RNAcentral
UACGAAGGGGGCUAGCGUUGCUCGGAAUCACUGGGCGUAAAGCGCACGUAGGCGGACUCUUAAGUCGGUGGUGAAAUCCUGGAGCUCAACUCCAGAACUGCCUUCGAUACUGAGAGUCUCGAGUCCGAGAGAGGUGAGUGGAACUGCGAGUGUAGAGGUGAAAUUCGUAGAUAUUCGCAAGAACACCAGUGGCGAAGGCGGCUCACUGGCUCGGUACUGACGCUGAGGUGCGAAAGCGUGGGGAGCGAACAGG